CGGGAGGAGGAAGGGCAGAUCUCACUCACAGUGAGGCUGGGCUGUGGGCCACAGGAAGUGCAUCGGGAGGGGGGCACAGCCUUCCAGGCAGGGAGGGGACAAAGUCCCCUGGACCUUGCCGGGAGAUGGAGUCACACUGCCUGCCAUCUGGCUUUGUUGGGAAGAGAAAAGAAAUGGGGCUUCCGGCAGCCUGUUGGUGGCACCCCAGCAGUGUGGAUCUUGCCAAACCUGGCAUCUAAGGCACUAGGGACCCAGUGGACCCUGAGAGGUCAUUAAGAUGUGUGCCUACCAGGAUAGAAAAAGCCCCACCAGGCCCCAACACAAAGGACCGAAUGGAAAGCUAUUCUUCCACUGUUGGUUUGAGAUGUGAAGAUGUGUGGACCAGAAGAGAUGCACCAUGGUUAAAAAAAUAAAAGCUCACUUAUUCUGCCCCAGCUAGGGGGCCAGCCAACUGCUCAGAAGCCUUGCUCAUGUGACUUAAUUCAUUGCUGAUUUCCCUCCAUAAUUUCUAGAGAUUGAAAUAUAAUUACGGUAUUUUCUGAAUGAGUGGACUGAAGAGUGCAUGGGUCAGAUUGUUUCCUCUGAGUUACAAAUCAGUGAGGGACAGACAUAGAAUUCAGAGUCUGUACCUGCAGCUUGCUUUCUUCCUGCCGAUUCCACAAUGUCCCAUGUAUGCCUGACUAUGUACAUAUGUGUGCAUAUUUGCUUGUGAAUAAAUACAAAUGCCCA
Long non-coding RNA from Peromyscus leucopus (white-footed mouse), 729 nucleotides. RefSeq lists it as uncharacterized. The transcript has 2 exons. Lineage: Eukaryota; Metazoa; Chordata; Mammalia; Rodentia; Cricetidae. The record is from RefSeq and is a predicted model, not a curated record.